ACUCUCUCAGCUCUGCAUAGUUACACGUUUUUGCACAUGUGUGACUUUCGUAAUGGGGAGAGAGAGAAAGGAUCUCCUCAGGACCUCAGAUUGGCCUCUCAGUGGCCAUUCUUUCCUGGAGGGGCGCAACAGAC
Molecule: small nucleolar RNA, 134 nt
Organism: Phyllostomus hastatus (greater spear-nosed bat)
Lineage: Eukaryota; Metazoa; Chordata; Mammalia; Chiroptera; Phyllostomidae
Product: small nucleolar RNA SNORA64/SNORA10 family
Exons: 1
Source: RefSeq, a predicted model, not a curated record